GGCUUUUGUUGGUUCAUUCCUCCCGAGCUUCUGGCACAACACAGCAGUAAAUGCUGGCCUAUUAUUACGGAUUAAUUUACCGAAACGUUCGGAUUGUGUGACAGUUACAGCGCGGCCGUUUCUCUUUUCCUUUUACUCCAGCCGUAGUGGAGAGAAGCGUUUGACUUACGUCCACUGUGCAGUAUAGCGCAUCCGGUCUUGGGGGUUCGAUUGCUGCCGCACCCUCUCAGUGAUCAAUCGCCUGAUUUUAAGUGAAGAGUUGAAACGCCUGCCUAGCUGCUGUUUCAGGGCUCCUCUGCAGUGGAGCUGCUGUCUUGUUUUGCGCCUGCUGUUUUGCCUCGCCUCGCCUCGUUGGGGCUUUGGGGUUUUACUUUGAGCUCCUUCUGGACUAUUCUUUGCACUCCAGCUCAGUGGCGUGUCCAGUGGGGUGGCCUGCCCCCCAACAAGACUGGCCACCCCAGGUGCCACCCCGAAGCUAUAACAAUAAAAUUCAAUCAAAUAUCAAAUGUACGAUUAUGUUUUCACAGUGAAGGUCAGAUAUCCGAGUGUAAGUGAAUGCAGCAUUGGCUUCUGCACUAUGAGCAUCACGUUAGCAAAGGAAGGAGAGCCAAGCACGAAAUACGGUACCGCAGAAAACAAUUUUUGGGCGAAAGAUAAGGAGGAGAGAAUAAAUGUCCUGGUAAGUAAUAAGUUUGUUGAGUUUAGUAAACUUCGGUGAAAUUAGAAUACCAAGGAAAAAAAUAACACUUAAAGAAUUAUUGCAACCGCCGAAUAUUUCAGACAGUAGGCUACUGGGGGGAGCUAGCAUAAGAGUUAUGAGUUAUAAGAUAUAAUCCAAGUCGUAACAUUGCUGUAUGGAGCUGCAGAUUUGGUUGCAGGUUAAUACUGGCAGUGUCACCAUGCCAGCUGACUGUAUUUCAUCAUCAGCCAGUGUUGUUCUUUAUACAUCAGUAUUACCAAAGUUUACCAUAAGGCAGCACUUAUACUACACUGUGCGGUCUAGCUAAUUUCUCUCAUUACUUAUCCUAUCUGCCAGCUCCAUGUUAUGAAUAGAGUGUAAGUCGCCCCAUAAAUGGCUGUGCCAUGUUUAAUGCAGGGAUGUGCAGCUCUGGUUCUCAAGGCUCCUGUCCUCCCGGUUUCAGAUGUUUCCAUAUUUCAACACCACUGAUUUAAAGAAUCAUUUACAGACUUGUGGACAACUAGGUGUUUGGGGAUUAUUUGAUUUGGAUUGGCUAUGUUGGUAUAGUGUAACAUCUAAAAUGUGCAGGAUAGGGGUCCAUGAGGGCCAGAAUUUGACAUCCCUGACUUCUAGUCAAGGUCAUACAUCAGGAAAGUUGUUUGUGACCUAAGUUUUUGCUUUAUUACUUCAGGGCAGACCAGAAGAAUAGGAAGAAUGAAAAGAUCUCAAAAUGUUGAGAAUUUCUUCCUUAAGAAGGCUAAAAUACAACCAGAAGCAGAGAGCAAUGUCAGGGAAAGGUGGACUGAGCAGCAGUCAUCAUUGUCACCUGUGAGUUCUACAAAUGAAGUGAGAAGGAGAGAGGCAAACUGGGAGUGACAGAGUGGCUGCGUCAGAAACCGCAGGGGAAAACACGUUACAUGA
Long non-coding RNA from Oreochromis aureus, 1600 nucleotides. RefSeq lists it as uncharacterized. NCBI's taxonomy places the organism in Eukaryota, Metazoa, Chordata, Actinopteri, Cichliformes, Cichlidae. The transcript has 4 exons. The record is from RefSeq and is a predicted model, not a curated record.